GGUGUGAGAGUGAUCUGACCUCGACAUGUAUGUCACCCUGCAAUUAUCAGCGUUGAUUAAGCUUAGCUGGCCAGCUGGCCUUGUACCCUAUUCUUCCCCCAAAGGUCCUUGCACAUUUCCUCCCAACCUGCACACUUGGCUUGAGAAGGUGUAUUUCCACAGAGAAAAUAAGUAACUGUUGAUAAGAGACAUAAAUGAGCAGAGCUCUCCAGCUACACGCUUGAAACAAGUUUACGGGUUCCACUCAUAGCUGUAUGCAACUGCAUAAAAAGUGGUAGUUCUUUGAUUUACACUUGUUAAAU
This 302-nucleotide small nuclear RNA is filed under the name Sus scrofa (pig). RNAcentral describes it as "7SK RNA (ENSSSCG00070012190.1)". Lineage: Eukaryota; Metazoa; Chordata; Mammalia; Artiodactyla; Suidae. The record is from RNAcentral.